This 493-nucleotide ribosomal RNA is filed under the name uncultured bacterium. RNAcentral's name for it is "partial 16S ribosomal RNA". It matches the Rfam family "Bacterial small subunit ribosomal RNA", at positions 29 to 507 of the family's 1533-position model. The record is from RNAcentral.
AACGAACGCUGGCGGCGCGUCUUAUACAUGCAAGUCGAACGGCAGGAAGGGGCUUGCCCCUUCUGAGAGUGGCGGACUGGUGAGUAACACGUGGGUGACAUACCUUUUAGAUGGGGAUAGCUAUUAGAAAUAGUAGGUAAUACCGAAUGUGACCGUACCUGUUAGAGGGGUACGAGGAAAGGAGCUAAGGCUUCGCUAAAAGAAUGGCUCGCGGCCCAUUAUGCUCGUUGGUGAGGUAACGGCCCACCAAGGCGAGGAUGGGUAUCCGGCCUGAGAGGGUGAACGGACACACUGGGACUGAGAUACGGCCCAGACUUCUACGGGAGGCAGCAGUUAAGAAUAUUCCGCAAUGGACGAAAGUCUGACGGAGCGACGCCGCGUGGAUGAAGAAUGCCGUAAGGUUGUAAAAUCCUUUUAAGCCUGAUGAAUAAGCACAGUAGGGAAUGAUUGUGCGGUGACCGUAGGGCUUGAAUAAGCACCGGCUAAUUACGUG